This 253-nucleotide ribosomal RNA is filed under the name uncultured bacterium. Its description in RNAcentral is "partial 16S ribosomal RNA". It matches the Rfam family "Bacterial small subunit ribosomal RNA", at positions 524 to 776 of the family's 1533-position model. The record is from RNAcentral.
UACGGAGGGUGCGAGCGUUACCCGGAUUUACUGGGUGUAAAGGGCGUGUAGGCGGUCUCUCAAGUCCGAUGCUAAAGACCGAGGCACAAACUCGGGUGUGCGUUGGAUACUGUGAGGCUAGACGGUCGGAGAGGGCAGCGGAAUUCUCGGAGUAGCGGUGAAAUGCGCAGAUACCGAGAGGAACGCCGAUAGCGAAAGCAGCUACCUGGACGAUUUGUGACGCUGCGGCGCGAAAGCGUUGGGAGCAAACCGG